This 253-nucleotide ribosomal RNA is filed under the name uncultured bacterium. RNAcentral describes it as "partial 16S ribosomal RNA". It matches the Rfam family "Bacterial small subunit ribosomal RNA", at positions 524 to 776 of the family's 1533-position model. The record is from RNAcentral.
UACAGGGGGGGCAAGCGUUGUUCGGAAUUACUGGGCGUAAAGGGUUUGUAGGUGGCUUGCUAAGUCAGACGUGAAAUCCCUCAGCUUAACUGGGGAACUGCGUCUGAUACUGGCGAGCUCGAGUGUGGAAGAGGGAAGCGGAAUUCCCGGUGUAGAGGUGAAAUUCGUAGAUAUCGGGAGGAACACCAGCGGCGAAGGCGGCUUCCUGGUCCAUUACUGACGUUCAGGCACGAAAGCGUGGGGAGCAAACAGG